CCUCCUUGCGAAGGCAGUCUCCUUAGAGUGCUCAGCCGAACUGUUAGCAACUAAGGACGAGGGUUGCGCUCGUUGCGGAACUUAACCCAACAUCUCACGACACGAGCUGACGACAGCCGUGCAGCACCUGUGUGUAGGUUCUAGCAAGCUAGCACCCCCUAAUCUCUUAAGGGUUCCUACCAUGUCAAGGCCAGGUAAGGUUCUUCGUGUAUCUUCGAAUU
RNAcentral lists this ribosomal RNA (221 nucleotides) under uncultured Sulfuricurvum sp. RNAcentral's name for it is "partial 16S ribosomal RNA". The record is from RNAcentral. Lineage: Bacteria; Pseudomonadati; Campylobacterota; Epsilonproteobacteria; Campylobacterales; Sulfurimonadaceae.